Molecule: small nuclear RNA, 107 nt
Organism: Grammomys surdaster
Lineage: Eukaryota; Metazoa; Chordata; Mammalia; Rodentia; Muridae
Source: RefSeq, a predicted model, not a curated record
GUGCUCACUUCAGCAGCACAUAUACUAAAACUGGAACGAUACAGAGAAGAUUAGCAUGGCCCCUGUACAAGGAAGACACACAAAUUUGCGAAGCAUUCCAAAUUUUA